UGGAGGCAGCAGUGAGGAAUUUUGCGCAAUGGGAGCAAUCCUGACGCAGCAACGCCGCGUGAGUGAAGAAGGCCUUCGGGUCGUAAAGCUCUGUCAGGUGGGAAGAAGUGGAUGGGAUCGAAUAGGUCUUGUCUUUGACGGUACCACCAGAGGAAGCACCGGCUAACUCCGUGCCAGCAGCCGCGGUAAUACGGAGGGUGCAAGCGUUAUUCGGAAUUACUGGGCGUAAAGCGCGUGCAGGCGGGAAGGUAAGUCUGAUGUGAAAGCCCCGGGCUUAACCUGGGAAGUGCAUCGGAAACUGCUUUUCUUGAGUACUGGAGAGGAAGGGAGAAUUCCCGGUGUAGAGGUGAAAUUCGUAGAGAUCGGGAGGAACACCAGUGGCGAAGGCGCCCUUCUGGACAGUUACUGACGCUGAGACGCGAAAGCGUGGGGAGCAAACAGGAUUAGAUACCCGAGUAGUCG
RNAcentral lists this ribosomal RNA (462 nucleotides) under uncultured bacterium. Its description in RNAcentral is "bacterial SSU rRNA". It matches the Rfam family "Bacterial small subunit ribosomal RNA", at positions 343 to 796 of the family's 1533-position model. The record is from RNAcentral.